Molecule: ribosomal RNA, 694 nt
Filed under: uncultured bacterium
Lineage: Bacteria
Description: bacterial SSU rRNA
Rfam family: Bacterial small subunit ribosomal RNA
Source: RNAcentral
AACGCUAGCUACAGGCUUAACACAUGCAAGUCGAGGGGCAGCAUGGUCUUAGCUUGCUAAGGCCGAUGGCGACCGGCGCACGGGUGAGUAACGCGUAUCCAACCUGCCUUACACUCUUGGACAGCCUUCUGAAAGGGAGAUUAAUACAAGAUGUUAUCAUGAGUAAGCAUUUUCGCAUGAUUAAAGGUUUACCGGUGUAAGAUGGGGAUGCGUUCCAUUAGAUAGUAGGCGAGGUAACGGCCCACCUAGUCUUCGAUGGAUAGGGGUUCUGAGAGGAAGGUCCCCCACAUUGGAACUGAGACACGGUCCAAACUCCUACGGGAGGCAGCAGUGAGGAAUAUUGGUCAAUGGACGAGAGUCUGAACCAGCCAAGUAGCGUGAAGGAUGAAGGUUCUAUGGAUUGUAAACUUCUUUUAUACGGGAAUAAACGAAUCCACGUGUGGAUUUUUGCAUGUACCGUAUGAAUAAGGAUCGGCUAACUCCGUGCCAGCAGCCGCGGUAAUACGGAGGAUCCGAGCGUUAUCCGGAUUUAUUGGGUUUAAAGGGAGCGUAGAUGGGUUGUUAAGUCAGUUGUGAAAGUUUGCGGCUCAACCCCGGAAUUGCAGUUGAUACUGGAUAUCUUGAGUACAGUUGAGGUAGGCGGAAUUCGUGGUGUAGCGGUGAAAUGCUUAGAUAUCACGAAGAACUCCGAUUG